This 1654-nucleotide long non-coding RNA is filed under the name Ananas comosus (pineapple). RNAcentral's name for it is "long non-coding RNA (ACOM_LNC019178)". The record is from RNAcentral. Lineage: Eukaryota; Viridiplantae; Streptophyta; Magnoliopsida; Poales; Bromeliaceae.
UAGCAACAUAAAAUAAAACUAAAUUAUAAUAUAAUCUAGCUUUAGAACAAUUAUGCCCUGCACCAUUUCUAAAAACAAAGACAAUUACUUUAUGGUGUAUAGUAUUUAUAUCUCAAAUUUAAAAUUCAACGUCCAAAAUAUAAUCUAACCUAACACAAAGCCGGACCUUGGCGGGCUCGAACCGCCAACCUCCCAAGAAUGAGGUCCCUGGGCGCUCUUGCCAUUUUUGAGCUUAAAGAUCCACAGAUAACGAAAUUAGAUCCUUAUUUCCCAGGUCGCACAAUGCGACGCACACGUGGGAAAAACGCAAGUUCUCUAGUACCAUUUAUUCUGUUAUUGUUGAUUAAUUCACCACAUUAACUACAUUACCCUACUUAAUUUAAUCAUGUUGCUGUUUAAUGUCCUAUAAUAAUAUGAUUCUUAAAAGAGACGAUAAACAGCAUUUCCCCCCUGAUGGCCGUGGGCCUUCCAACAACAUCCUGUGAGGGCAUAUUCAAGGAAAUCAUUUUUUUUAAUCCCAAAAACCUGCAUCUGGAUAUUCGAUUUGAGCAAUUGAAUAACUUCCGCUCUCUAAAAUCCAAUAGAAAUAGCAAACUUAUCAACAAGUCACAUCUCUCACAGCAUAAUGGUUAUACUCCCACCAAAAGUUAGUGGAAAAAAAUAGAAACCACUCAGAUGUACCAACCAAAACAUUUUGAUUUGAAAAACUCCUAGAUGAAUGGCCAUUUAACACCAUGAAACAUAAAAUAGUACAGUUGUCACAUACCUGUUUAAGCACUCAAAAUACACCAGUAACGUAGGUAGAAACAUUAGUAACAGCAUAAGCGCACAACAUAAUAAUGUAGGUAGAUAGAUUGCUCACCAUAAAGCAGCACAAUCGAUAGGGCAUAAAAAUUCAAAAGGAGUUAUAAGAGCAGCGUGCAAUAGAAUGAAUGUUUCAAAGCGGCGGCAAUGAACUUGCAACAAAUUAUUUCUAAACCCACGCAAAGAUCACAUGAAAUCUACCUCAUAGAAUGAAAAUGUGAUGAUAGAGAAACUUAGCAAUUAUGCCAAUCGCUUCUGUACCUGUGGAGAUUACUAAUUGAUAGCACAUAAGGUUUAGAAAACACUGAACAAGCCAAGAUAAAAUUUUGAACGCCAACCACAAAAGUAACAAAUGAAAUGAAUGACCAACUCAACUACAAUAAGCUCUGCUAGAGAGCCUGGCAACGGAUAACUAAACAAAGUGCAUUUAUGAAAACCAAAAUUCAAAAUGGACAAAGUGGAGUGACUAAUGAGAAUAGUCCUAAUACACCAGACUACUUGCAACGAAAAGGAGGAACCAUUUUGUAAAUACACAAGGAGGUGCCGCAACAACUCAGUUAUGAAUUGAUGCCGUCAUGCCAGAAACAAAGACUUUACAAGAAUGAAAGAGGGACUGAAAUGCACGAUCAAAUAGGAAGGGGUAAAAAAUGGCCAUGCUAAGAAUGAGAAAUAACAGUUUCAUAUCUACCUACAUUAAAUAAAUUAAUGAGCUAAGAAAUACCUCAGUUUUCAAUUCUUGAAAGUGAAGCUCUUCCGCAAGGUGUUAAAAUAGUUGUCAGUCAACACCGACAUAGAGAAGUGAAGGCUUGCGUAUACUAAAUUAUAGCGAUAAUUUUCAAAACAGGGUUUC